This 253-nucleotide ribosomal RNA is filed under the name uncultured bacterium. Its description in RNAcentral is "partial 16S ribosomal RNA". It matches the Rfam family "Bacterial small subunit ribosomal RNA", at positions 524 to 776 of the family's 1533-position model. The record is from RNAcentral.
UACGUAGGUGGCAAGCGUUGUCCGGAUUUACUGGGCGUAAAGAGCGCGCAGGCGGUCGUUCAAGUCGGGUGUGAAAGCCCCCGGCUCAACUGGGGAGGGUCACGCGAUACUGAUCGGCUUGAAGAUGGGAGAGGGUAGUGGAAUUCCCGGUGUAGUGGUGAAAUGCGUAGAUAUCGGGAGGAACACCAGUGGCGAAGGCGACUACCUGGCCCAUUCUUGACGUUGAGGCGCGAAAGCUAGGGGAGCGAACGGG